UACGAAGGGUGCAAGCGUUAAUCGGAAUUACUGGGCGUAAAGCGUGCGUAGGCGGUUCGUUAAGUCUGUCGUGAAAGCCCUGGGCUCAACCUGGGAAUGGCGAUGGAUACUGGCGAGCUAGAGUGUGAUAGAGGAUGGCGGAAUUCCCGGUGUAGCGGUGAAAUGCGUAGAGAUCGGGAGGAACACCAGUGGCGAAGGCGGCUACCUGGACCAGCACUGACACUGAGGCACGAAAGCGUGGGGAGCAAACAGG
Molecule: ribosomal RNA, 253 nt
Filed under: uncultured bacterium
Lineage: Bacteria
Description: partial 16S ribosomal RNA
Rfam family: Bacterial small subunit ribosomal RNA
Source: RNAcentral